Molecule: non-coding RNA, 30 nt
Filed under: Mus musculus (house mouse)
Lineage: Eukaryota; Metazoa; Chordata; Mammalia; Rodentia; Muridae
Source: RNAcentral
GAUAAUUUGUGAAUGGAAUUCUAUGUGGAC